This is a non-coding RNA of Roseiflexus sp. RS-1, 173 nucleotides long. Lineage: Bacteria; Bacillati; Chloroflexota; Chloroflexia; Chloroflexales; Roseiflexaceae. The record is from Rfam.
GCAACCCUACCCCGGUCGGGGGCGGUGUGUUGUUUCGAGCCAACACAGUUUCGAAGGGAGUCGUGCUCCGACAGCAUGGGCUAUGCGGCGGGCCGCAGAUACCCACGGGCCGGCACCCACCUGCCUUGUGCAGGUUCGAAACCUAUCCGCUUCACGCCGGCGGUGGGGUUUUC